RNAcentral lists this transfer RNA (66 nucleotides) under Candidatus Campbellbacteria bacterium CG10_big_fil_rev_8_21_14_0_10_35_52. RNAcentral's name for it is "tRNA-Val". It matches the Rfam family "tRNA". Rfam says of the family: Transfer RNA (tRNA) molecules are approximately 80 nucleotides in length. Lineage: Bacteria; Candidatus Campbelliibacteriota. The record is from RNAcentral.
CGAUUAGCUCAGUUGGUAGAGCGCGUCAUUGACGUUGAUGAGGUCAGAGGUUCAACUCCUCUAUCG